CAAGUUUAGCGAUCUCUUCGGAGAGAGCGGCGGGCGGGUGAGUAACGCGUGCGGUAACCUGCCCUGUACACACGGAUAACAUACCCGAAAGGUAUACUAAUACCGGGAUAACAUAUGAAAAGUCGCAUGGCUUUUGUAUCAAAGCUCCGGCGGUAACAGGAUGGACCCGCGUCUGAUUAGCUAGUUGGUAAGGUAAUGGCUUACCAAGGCAACGAUCAGUAGCCGACCUGAGAGGGUGAUCGGCCACACUGGAACUGAGACACGGUCCAGACUCCUACGGGAGGCAGCAGUGGGGAAUAUUGCACAAUGGGCGAAAGCCUGAUGCAGCAACGCCGCGUGAGCGAUGAAGGCCUUCGGGUCGUAAAGCUCUGUCCUCAAGGAAGAUAAUGACGGUACUUGAGGAGGAAGCCCCGGCUAACUACGUGCCAGCAGCCGCGGUAAUACGUAGGGGGCUAGCGUUAUCCGGAAUUACUGGGCGUAAAGGGUGCGUAGGUGGUUUUUUAAGUCAGAAGUGAAAGGCUACGGCUCAACCGUAGUAAGCUUUUGAAACUAGAGAACUUGAGUGCAGGAGAGGAGAGUAGAAUUCCUAGUGUAGCGGUGAAAUGCGUAGAUAUUAGGAGGAAUACCAGUAGCGAAGGCGGCUCUCUGGACUGUAACUGACACUGAGGCACGAAAGCGUGGGGAGCAAACAGGAUUAGAUACCCUGGUAGUCCACGCCGUAAACGAUGAGUACUAGGUGUUCGGGGGUACCCCCCUCGGUGCCGCAGCUAACGCAUUAAGUACUCCGCCUGGGAAGUACGCUCGCAAGAGUGAAACUCAAAGGAAUUGACCGGGGACCCGCACAAGUAGCGGAGCAUGUGGUUUAAUUCGAAGCAACGCGAAGAACCUUACCUAAGCUUGACAUCCCACUGACCUCUCCCUAAUCGGAGAUUUCCCUUCGGGGACAGUGGUGACAGGUGGUGCAUGGUUGUCGUCAGCUCGUGUCGUGAGAUGUUGGGUUAAGUCCCGCAACGAGCGCAACCCUUGCCUUUAGUUGCCAGCAUUAAGUUGGGCACUCUAGAGGGACUGCCGAGGAUAACUCGGAGGAAGGUGGGGAUGACGUCAAAUCAUCAUGCCCCUUAUGCUUAGGGCUACACACGUGCUACAAUGGGUGGUACAGAGGGUUGCCAAGCCGCGAGGUGGAGCUAAUCCCUUAAAGCCAUUCUCAGUUCGGAUUGUAGGCUGAAACUCGCCACAGGAACCUGGAGUUACUAGUAAUCGCAGAUCAGAAUGCUGCGGUGAAUGCGUUCCCGGGUCUUGUACACACCGCCCGUCUACACCAUGGAA
RNAcentral lists this ribosomal RNA (1326 nucleotides) under bacterium CCSD_DF2030_Ag37_isolate_2. RNAcentral's name for it is "16S ribosomal RNA". It matches the Rfam family "Bacterial small subunit ribosomal RNA", at positions 58 to 1409 of the family's 1533-position model. The record is from RNAcentral.